RNAcentral lists this ribosomal RNA (386 nucleotides) under uncultured bacterium. RNAcentral describes it as "bacterial SSU rRNA". It matches the Rfam family "Bacterial small subunit ribosomal RNA", at positions 29 to 416 of the family's 1533-position model. The record is from RNAcentral.
AUUAAACGCUGGCGGCAUGCCUUACACAUGCAAGUCGAACGGCAGCACGGGGGCAACCCUGGUGGCGAGUGGCGAACGGGUGAGUAAAGCAUCGGAACGUGCCCUGGAGUGGGGGAUAACGUAGCGAAAGUUACGCUAAUACCGCAUAUUCUGUGAGCAGGAAAGCAGGGGAUCGCAAGACCUUGCGCUCUGGGAGCGGCCGAUGUCGGAUUAGCUAGUUGGUGGGGUAAAGGCCUACCAAGGCGACGAUCCGUAGCGGGUCUGAGAGGAUGAUCCGCCACACUGGGACUGAGACACGGCCCAGACUCCUACGGGAGGCAGCAGUGGGGGAAUUUUGGACAAUGGGCGAAGCCUGAUCCAGCCAUGCCGCGUGAGUGAAGAAGGCC